CGAGCCGGCCGGGCGGCCGCGUGGGACCUUCAGGGGUCUCCCGAGGAACGUCCGGGCUCCAUACGGCAGGGUGGUGGGUAACGCCCACCCGGGGUGACCCGCGGGACAGUGCCACAGAAAACAGACCGCCGGGGAUCUUCGGAUUCCCGGUAAGGGUGAAACGGUGGUGUAAGAGACCACCAGCGCCUGGGGUGACCCAGGCGGCUAGGUAAACCCCACCCGGAGCAAGGUCAAGAGGGGCGGUCGCUUCACGGCGACGGCCCUGCGCGGACGAUCGAGGGCUGCCCGCCCGAGUCCGCGGGUAGACCGCACGAGCCUGUCGGCAACGGCAGGCCUAGAUGGAUGGCCGCCGCCGCGGCUCCCGUAAGGGACCGCGCGCACAGAACCCGGCGUACAGGCCGACUCGUCCG
Molecule: RNase P RNA, 410 nt
Filed under: Streptomyces luteoverticillatus
Lineage: Bacteria; Bacillati; Actinomycetota; Actinomycetes; Kitasatosporales; Streptomycetaceae
Also listed under: 2 other names
Description: Bacterial RNase P class A
Rfam family: Bacterial RNase P class A
About the family: Ribonuclease P (RNase P) is a ubiquitous endoribonuclease, found in archaea, bacteria and eukarya as well as chloroplasts and mitochondria. Its best characterised activity is the generation of mature 5'-ends of tRNAs by cleaving the 5'-leader elements of precursor-tRNAs.
Source: Rfam by way of RNAcentral